UACGAAGGGGGCUAGCGUUGCUCGGAAUUACUGGGCGUAAAGGGCGCGUAGGCGGUCUUAUAAGUCUCGUGUGAAAUCCCUCGGCUUAACUGAGGAACUGCACGGGAUACUGCAAGACUUGAGAUCGGGAGAGGGAAGCGGAAUUCCGGGUGUAGCGGUGAAAUGCGUAGAUAUCCGGAGGAACACCGGUGGCGAAGGCGGCUUCCUGGACCGAAACUGACGCUGAGGCGCGAAAGCUAGGGGAGCAAACGGG
RNAcentral lists this ribosomal RNA (253 nucleotides) under uncultured bacterium. RNAcentral's name for it is "partial 16S ribosomal RNA". It matches the Rfam family "Bacterial small subunit ribosomal RNA", at positions 524 to 776 of the family's 1533-position model. The record is from RNAcentral.